CUUAAGGGGGGGAGAAUUCUAUGCAUGAUAUUUUGGUGGAUUUCAGAUGAUUUUUAGUUACUAUCAGAUUCUACCAACAUUACUCACAUUGAGUAAUACCUUCUCCUUCAAAUAGCCCCAAUGAAAUCGGCACAGUUAAGCAUGGCAGAAUUAGACCCUGGAUAAACCAGGGUUCCUAGCCCUGUUGGAGAGAGAGGGAAUUGGAAAUGCCUUUAAAUAGCUCUGGGCCAGUAACCUUUUAGUUCUGAUCUCCUCAGUAAUAAUCUCUCUCCUUCUUUCUCUUUUUAUGUAAGGAUGCUCUUGUCCUGUGGAUUAUUACUACAAUAAAAUGCUCUGUGCCUGAUUUUUUUCAAUCCCUAUGGCAGCUCUGGACAACAAUUCACGUUAAAAUUAAUGAGAACUGAAUGUCAAAUGCCCUUUUGAAAAUCUUAGCAAAAUCAAUACAUGAGCGUCUGGCACCAAAUCCCACAUGUGUGUGUGCCCCAAGCCUUCUGGACGCAUGAGUCAGGCUCUAAACAUAGCAGCUGCUGGGCCUUGUGUCUCUGAUGGGUCAGCCCAAAGCCACAGAGCUAAAUGCUCUAGACUUUUGGAAGAAUCUGGGCCUGAAUUUUGCAGUUUGGGCCCAUUUUCGGUAAAAAUCUCUCCUAUUAAUAUCCACUGUACAGAAAUAAAGAUUAACAGUGAUUUAUUUUUGAGAAUGCUGGCUUCCAAAGGACAUGACUCCUAUUCUUAUUCCCAAAGAAACUUAUGGUGGAAGCUUAUGUCACAUCCAUGUUUCCUGGUCUGAAGUUUGGAGAGGAAAUCAGAUUCACUUCUCCAUGAUGUGGCACAAAAAGUGCAGCGUAUAGACUGCAGAGGAACAGACUGCAGACUCUGGGUCUGUCAGAGCAAUCUGAUGAUAAUAUGCAAAAUCUCACUGAGUCAGAAAGGGACAUGACAUAUUUAUCAUUACAAUAUCUCUGGACUUAGCAUGCAUGCCAGAUGAUGUCAGUGCGUAUUGAGAGUAUUAUUCAAAAGAUGCCCAAAGCUUAAUGGCUCGAAUGGCCCAUAUCACACUCCAAAAAGAGCUACUUCCAGGCCAAUGAGGAGAGUUACAAGAAAAAUAGUGGGCAUUCACUGGUAGCUACACUGGGAUGUAACUACAGAUUCAGCACACGGAUCACUUGAUUAUUACCUGUUCUGUUCAUUCCCUCUGAAGCACCUGGCAUAGGCCACUGUCUGAAGACAGGACACUGGGCUAGAUGGACCUUCGGUCUGACCCAGUAUGGCCGUUCUUAUGUUGUUCUUAUUGGGAAUUAUGUCAGAUGCUGUUAUAAAAUAUUGUACCUAAAACCACUGUACAUUCCCCCUGGAACACACGGGAAAUGACUGAAAGCAAUGUAAUGAAGUUGCAGGAAAAGAAGGCAGGGUUUCAGCUUUUUAAAGUUGAUGACAAAGGCAUGAUCUGAAUACAGGCCAAGGAGCCAGGACCUGAGGUCUACUUCAACAAAGUACUUAAGAGUGUGCUUAAAAUUAAACACACACUUAUGUACUACUGAAGUCUUAAGCAGCUGCUUAGGUGCUUGGCUGAAUUGGUGUCCAAGGUCCAGAUCCUCAAAGCUAUUUAGGUACUUAAAAUCUUUUGAAGAUCUGGGCCUAAAUUCCUGAGCUCUAAUAACAACUCACCUUGUGGCCUUGGAGAGUCACCUAUCCUCUGUAGGGCCUGAACUUGCUGAGGUCAGUGGGAGUUUUGCCACUGACCUCAAUGAGAAGAGGAUGGGGGUUGAGCGUGCCUCAGUUUCCUGAUCUAUAAAAAGUGCAUAACUUAUUACCUAUCACCUAAUGUUCAUAAAUAAUCAUCAAGGUGCUAAAUGUUUUAUAUCACAAUAGUAAUAAAGGUGUCUUUUGUUCCAUUUCUGUAACAAAUGAACCAGUGUUUCCAGUACAUACAUACAUGUAUGUAUGGUUCAGUUUCUUAAAAAAAAAAAAAAAAAAAAGCAUUCAGACCCUUUGGAAACCCAGAACUUGUCUGCCACCUCCUAUGAGAAUCUGGGACUUUCAAAAGCAUAAUGAGAGACUAUGGCCAUUUCAUUGUCUUGGGACCUGUCUAUGAAGCUAUUUUCACUCCCAACAAUUCUCUCUUGCUGGACUUUGGAAAAACCUGUGAAAAAUCACAGAUGGGAAAAUUUUGUGGAGUAGGAGGUUUUGCGCACAUUGGGAAAUAUUUGCAUUAGGGUUUGCAAAAUAGUGGAAGUCCGCAAGGAAACCAGCACUCUGCAUUAGCGAAUCAUACCCAUCCCACGAGCCAGGUUGGUACAAGUGGAUGGCAUGUAUAGGAGAUAUAAAUUGUCUCCUCUUAGAUUCCUUCUCUUUCCCUGCCAAACCUUCAUGUUUCUCUGUCUUGUUUGUUUCUCCAACAUUCUCAGAUUUUAAGGCCAGAAGGAACUGUUAGAUCAUCCAGUCUGUCCUCAUCCAUCACACAGGCCAGAGAAAUUCACCCAGUGAUUCCUACAGUAGAGUGCCAGCUGUGAGCUGUGUUCACCGGGAACUAGACUGCGACAGUUCGUUUUACAAGGAUUCCUGACAGCCCUCAACCUUCCUAGUCUCACCAACGGCCCCUGUCAUGCUGCAUUCUCCAAGCAGGGAUAUGGCAGCUCAGCACACAUGGCAUCACCACCACAUGGCCAGUCAGUGCAACACAUGGUG
This is a long non-coding RNA of Dermochelys coriacea (leatherback sea turtle), 2685 nucleotides long. RefSeq lists it as uncharacterized. The record is from RefSeq and is a predicted model, not a curated record. The transcript has 4 exons. Lineage: Eukaryota; Metazoa; Chordata; Testudines; Dermochelyidae.